Molecule: long non-coding RNA, 885 nt
Organism: Arabidopsis thaliana (thale cress)
Lineage: Eukaryota; Viridiplantae; Streptophyta; Magnoliopsida; Brassicales; Brassicaceae
Product: other RNA
Exons: 1
Source: RefSeq
AAGUGCGCUUAUGAGGUUGUAAUGUUGUUCCCCUGCCUUGUCAUAUGCCAAAUGUUUGCACUGAAGAGCCUCCUUCGCAUCAUCAAUAGACACAACAGCAUCAGUUCCGGCUCGAGUGGUAGCCAUGGUAGCUGAGAUUUCCAAAGCAUUCAACGCGACGCGAGCAUCACCAUCGCAGUUAUUAGCCAAGAACUCUAUGACAGAAUCAUCAACCUCAACGCUAUUGGGGAGUCCUCUCUCGGAAUCAUCUACAGCUCGUCUAAGAAGGGUCUCAACAUGAUUGGGUUUCAAGGGAUUAAGAGUUAGAACUCUACAACGUGAGAGCAAAGGAGUGAUCAAAUGGAAAGAAGGGUUCUCAGUGGUGGCUCCAAUGAAGAGGAUACUACCAUCUUCAAUAACAGGCAAGAAUGUAUCUUGCUGUGACUUGUUAAACCUAUGAACCUCAUCCAUAAACAACACAGUCCUCUUUCUACCUUCAAGAUUAAGCCUUUUGGCACUCUCAACGGCGUCUCUAACAUCUUUAACUCCGCUCGUAACAGCAGACAAGGAAACGAAGCGAUACAGAGACGGGUCCUUAGAGGAAUUGAUGAGAGACUUUGCGAUUGAGGUCUUUCCAGUGCCAGGAGGACCCCAGAAGACAAUGGAAGGGAGGCGAUUGGAUUCGACGGCGGAACGGAGGAGAGAGCUGGGAGAGAGGAGAUGGUCUUGACCUACAACGUCAUCUAGAGUGCGAGGACGCAUACGCUCCGACAAUGGCUGGUGUUGGCGGUGGCUGGAUGAUGAGAGCUUGUGACGCUUGUUGGAAUCAUCAGCCGCGACGUGGAUUUGGGUUUUGGGAUUGGGGCGCUUGCUGGAAUCGUCACCCAUGGCGGGGGCUAGGGCUUU